CUCUUCCUCUCUCUCUUCCUUCUCCCUCAACCUUUCCCCCUUUACUCUCUUUUCUCCCCUCUCUCUUAUUUAUUCUUUCCCCACUUUUUUUGUUUAAGACUCUGUGACCUUUUGUCACUCAAGCUGGAGGUACAAAGCCUCAUGAGCCUGAUUCCAUUGCUUUCACUUGUCUUUCCAACCUGGGUCAGUUCACUUAACGGCAGCACCUUUGGAACUCAAGAUAUUGGUGCUAGACUUAGUGUGGACAACCAGUUGGCUGUAGCCCACUGCAACUCUAUGGAGUUCCAGCUUCCCCAAUGGCAGGGACUACAGGUUGUUUUGUGCUACAUGGAUGAAAUAAAGCUGUCAAUAGAAAAAUCAAGAACUUCAAGUUUUAUCUCAUUUCAAGGAACAAAAGUUCAUGUAAUGUGAUAGGCACCAUUCAAAGCAAUUCAGCCCCUAUAAUAAUUAAAAUCAAAUUUUCAACUUGGUGGUGAGUAGCACUCAAUUGUGUCUACUCUGUUUUCCCUGCUUAUCCUUCUUAAACUUGGGAUUGUUGAAUUCCAAUACUUAGAGUAAUGUAACAACACCUAAUUUAUAUAUAUAUAUGGCUUGUUUUUAUAGCCUUUUUAAAAUCAAGUAAAAAACCUGGAAAAAAUUUUCUCUUUACAUGGACUUUAUUGUUGUAUUCUAUCUCCAGGAAAAUCCUUAAAACUCUCAAAAUGACAUGCUUAUAAUUUUGAAAUUAUCAUAACACUUUUUAAAUAAAGAAAGCAGGUGAAAAUUUUGUUUUGAUCUGAAGCUUCUUCUUGGUUGCAUUGCCCAGAGAUAUAAAACAUAGUAAUGAGUCAGUGUGUCUUAAAAAAAGAAUUGGAAAAAGACAAAAAAAAUCACUGAUAUGAUUUGAGGCCGGUGUGUGUUUGCAUUAUUUUCAGUUUUAGGCCAGGCUUAGUUUACAAACUACAUAUUUAUUUGUAUAACAUAAAAACCAAAAAUCUCUUACUAAAACUUUGUUGCAAGGUUAGCUAGUUUUAAACCUAGUAACCUUGAUGCCUUAAAAGAUGUUUCAUAUUUAUAAACUACUUCCGUUGUCAUCAGUGCAUUUUGAGACAAAAAGAAAAAAUAUUCAGAUUAGCCAGAAUUUCUCUCCCUGUGGUCAGUCAGUAAAUGUUCAUUGUGCAUUUACUCUUCUGAGUACUAUGCUAGGUUCUGCAGGAGAUGGAAAAAAAGGCAUAGGAAAGUUUUCCUAGCUAAAAUCGUUUUCUAAUAACAUUGUUAAUGUGUAAUUAAUAACAUUGUUCCUAUGUAACUGAAACAUUGCUUCACCACCUAAUGUAAUUUUUUUGUGGAAUUAAUUGAAGCAUUAAAUGAAAUGUACCUUUAGAUAAUAUGGUCUUGUUUAGAGAAUAAGACUAUGGCAUAGAACUCAACAAGUCAUUUAAGACAAUAUUUAAGUGCCACACAGUCUUGAGUAGUAUAGGAAUUAGAAAGCAGAAAGUCAAUAAGAGUUAUUGUACUUGAGUUUGCUUUUCAGGAUGCUUUACUUUCCUCUCCACUAUCUAAAUCCUACCCAUCUUUUAAGAUGGGCCUUCUUUAUGAAAAUCUCCCUGCUAAUCUUAACCCUUUUGAGAAGCUUCAUAGCAAUGAAAAGAGCAAAAGUAUAGGAAUCAGGAAGCUUGGAUUUACACGGUUAUGAUUGGGAGCAAACAAGUCACUUAAUCUCUCCAAAUAUCAGUUUUCUUAUCUGUAAAAAUGGGGAUAAUACUAACACAUUUAAAAAAAAAAAAAAAAAAAAAAACCUUAGAGGACAUCCUCCACUGUUUUGUCUAGGAUCCUCAACAUGGUUAAGAAGUACAUAGGACCUGAUGGGUUUUUAUGGGUGGAGACACCACUGGAGGAAAGUCAUUGGGAUAUGAGAGGUCUUCUAAGCCACAGUACUUGCAUUACCUACCUCACAGGGUUGUUGUGAGGAAAAUGCUUUGUAAACCCAAGCUUUAUACAAAUGUCAGUCCUUAUUAAUAAAGAAAGCUUUCAUAU
Molecule: long non-coding RNA, 2016 nt
Organism: Sarcophilus harrisii (Tasmanian devil)
Lineage: Eukaryota; Metazoa; Chordata; Mammalia; Dasyuromorphia; Dasyuridae
Exons: 2
Source: RefSeq, a predicted model, not a curated record